CCACGCUCCGCACUUGCUGGCGCAAUGAAAAUGACGUACGACCAGAAAUGACGGCCCCUCUUCUCCCGUUUGUAGAAAGAUGUUCCUGGUGGCCCAUCGAAGAAACCAAACAGAAAGAAGUCUCCCCAAAAAGCAAGAAAAAUCUCAAAAUCUUCUUUAUGGGAGAGUCCAGGAAAUAACAAACCUCCUGUCUCGUUUGCGUGUGGCGCACGGAGAAACAGAUGGCACGGGCGAGGAUAGCCGCCAGACGGAAGGAGGGAAAGCGAGAGAGGAAGAAAAUGGCAAGCAUGGUGUUGGGUGCGAGAGGACAAUGACGAGACCCAUGGUGCCCCUAUUAAGCAGCAGCCUCAAGGCGAGUGGAUUAGCCUGAAUAGUCGGCGCUCCCCAGGUACAGGAUUUGCUUUACAUUAGCCCACUUUGCCCUUGGCAGCCACUGCUGCUUAGGUC
Long non-coding RNA from Phyllopteryx taeniolatus (common seadragon), 447 nucleotides. RefSeq lists it as uncharacterized. NCBI's taxonomy places the organism in Eukaryota, Metazoa, Chordata, Actinopteri, Syngnathiformes, Syngnathidae. The record is from RefSeq and is a predicted model, not a curated record. The transcript has 4 exons.